UACAGAGGGGGCAAGCGUUGUUCGGAAUUACUGGGCGUAAAGGGCGCGUAGGCGGCCUGUUAAGUCGAAUGUGAAAUCCCCGGGCUCAACUCGGGAACUGCGUCCGAUACUGGCAGGCUUGAAUUCGGGAGAGGGAUGCGGAAUUCCAGGUGUAGCGGUGAAAUGCGUAGAUAUCUGGAGGAACACCGGUGGCGAAGGCGGCGAUCUGGGAAGAUACUGACGCUGAGGUGCGAAAGCGUGGGGAGCAAACAGG
This 253-nucleotide ribosomal RNA is filed under the name uncultured bacterium. Its description in RNAcentral is "partial 16S ribosomal RNA". It matches the Rfam family "Bacterial small subunit ribosomal RNA", at positions 524 to 776 of the family's 1533-position model. The record is from RNAcentral.